UCGAUCUGCUGCGGGCAAAUGAAAUGGAUAUGGGCGUCGAUGCCGCCGGCAGUGACGAUGCUCCCCUCGGCGGCAAGGGCUUCGGUGCCCGGGCCGAUGACGAUAUCCACGCCGGGCUGGGUAUCCGGGUUGCCGGCCUUGCCGAUGGCGGCGAUGCGCCCUGCGCGUAUGCCGAUAUCGGCCUUGAAAAUGCCGGUGUAAUCGAGGAUCAGGGCAUUGGUGAUCACCAGAUCAACCGCCUCAUCACCCGCGGCCUGGCUCUGGCCCAUGCCAUCGCG
RNAcentral lists this small RNA (278 nucleotides) under uncultured Spiribacter sp. Its description in RNAcentral is "5' ureB small RNA". It matches the Rfam family "5' ureB small RNA". Lineage: Bacteria; Pseudomonadati; Pseudomonadota; Gammaproteobacteria; Chromatiales; Ectothiorhodospiraceae. The record is from RNAcentral.